This 254-nucleotide ribosomal RNA is filed under the name uncultured bacterium. Its description in RNAcentral is "partial 16S ribosomal RNA". It matches the Rfam family "Bacterial small subunit ribosomal RNA", at positions 524 to 776 of the family's 1533-position model. The record is from RNAcentral.
UACGUAGGGGGCGAGCGUUGUCCGGAUUUAUUGGGCGUAAAGAGCUCGUAGGCGGCUUGGCGAGUCGGGUGUGAAACCUCCAGGCUCAACCUGGAGACGCCACUCGAUACUGCCAUGGCUAGAGUCCGGUAGGGGACCACGGAAUUCCUGGUGUAGCGGUGAAAUGCGCAGAUAUCAGGAGGAACACCGGUGGCGAAGGCGGUGGUCUGGGCCGGCACUGACGCUGAGGAGCGAAAGCGUGGGUAGCAAACAGG